Molecule: ribosomal RNA, 322 nt
Filed under: uncultured microorganism
Description: bacterial SSU rRNA
Rfam family: Bacterial small subunit ribosomal RNA
Source: RNAcentral
GAGUUUGAUCCUGGCUCAGGAUGAACGCUGGCGGCGUGCCUAAUACAUGCAAGUCGAGCGAACGGACGAGAAGCUUGCUUCUCUGAUGUUAGCGGCGGACGGGUGAGUAACACGUGGAUAACCUACCUAUAAGACUGGGAUAACUUCGGGAAACCGGAGCUAAUACCGGAUAAUAUUUUGAACCGCAUGGUUCAAAAGUGAAAGACGGUCUUGCUGUCACUUAUAGAUGGAUCCGCGCUGCAUUAGCUAGUUGGUAAGGUAACGGCUUACCAAGGCAACGAUGCAUAGCCGACCUGAGAGGGUGAUCGGCCACACUGGAACU